Molecule: unclassified non-coding RNA, 253 nt
Filed under: uncultured Acidobacteriota bacterium
Lineage: Bacteria; Pseudomonadati; Acidobacteriota
Description: uncultured Acidobacteria bacterium contains 16S-23S intergenic spacer region
Rfam family: Bacterial small subunit ribosomal RNA
Source: RNAcentral
UACGUAGGGGGCAAACGUUGCUCGGAAUUACUGGGCGUAAAGGGUGUGUAGGUGGCUGAGCAAGCCAAGGAUGAAAUCCCGAGGCUCAACCUCGGAAUUGUCCUUGAAACUGCUCAGCUUGAGGAUAGUGGAGGAAAGCGGAAUUCCCGGUGGAGCGGUGAAAUGCGUAGAUAUCGGGAGGAACACCAGAGGCGAAGGCGGUUUUCUAUGCUAUUCCUGACACUGAGACACGAAAGCUAGGGGAGCAAACGGG